GGAACUUCUCGGAGAGGGGCACCGGAAUAGGGUCGGCGGGAAAGGUGGUUGUCGGGCAGGGCCCUUGCUUCCUUGUCAGACCUCGGAGUGGCAACACUCGGGAUGUGUUCCUGAGCGUGCGGGAGCUGGCGAGGUCUGGCUCGCUUCGCGGUGCAGGACUAACUCUAACGGCUCCCGAGCCCCCACCUCAGAGCUAGGCGGUGGUACGGCCCGGAGAGUCACGCGCCUGGGUCUCCGCGGGGCUGAGGGACCACGGGCCUCUUGGGGUCUCCAAGUCACCAUGAAUGCCAUCGUGGCUCUCUGCCACUUCUGCGAGCUCCAUGGGCCCCGCACUCUCUUCUGCACGGAGGUCCUGCAUGCCCCCCUUCCCCAAGGGGCUGGGAAUGAAGACAGCCCUGGCCAGGGCGAGCAGGCGGAGGAAGAGGAAGGUGGCAUUCAGAUGAGCAGCCGGAUGCGCGCACACAGCCCUGCUGAGGGGGCCAGCGUUGAGUCCAGCAGCCCGGGGCCCAAAAAGUCGGACAUGUGUGAGGGCUGCCGGUCACUUGCUGCAGGGCACCCAGGGUAUAUCAGCCACGAUAAAGAGACCUCCAUUAAAUAUGUCAGCCACCAGCACCCCAGCCACCCCCAGCUCUUCAGCAUUGUCCGCCAGGCCUGCGUCCGGAGCCUGAGCUGUGAGGUCUGCCCUGGCCGCGAAGGCCCCAUCUUCUUCGGAGAUGAGCAGCAUGGCUUUGUGUUCAGCCAUACUUUCUUCAUCAAGGACAGCCUGGCCAGGGGCUUCCAGCGCUGGUACAGUGUCAUCACCAUCAUGAUGGACCGGAUCUACCUCAUCAACUCCUGGCCCUUCCUGCUGGGGAAGGUCCGGGGAAUCAUCGACGAGCUCCAGGGCAAGGCGCUCAAGGUGUUUGAGGCAGAGCAGUUUGGAUGCCCACAGCGUGCGCAGAGGAUGAACACAGCCUUCACACCAUUCCUGCACCAGAGGAAUGGCAAUGCCGCCCGCUCACUGACGUCACUGACAAGUGAUGACAACUUGUGGGCAUGCCUGCACACCUCCUUUGCCUGGCUCCUGAAGGCAUGUGGCAGCCGGCUGACCGAGAAGCUCCUGGAAGGCGCUCCGACCGAGGACACCUUGGUCCAGAUGGAGAAGCUUGCAGAUUUAGAAGAGGAAUCAGAAACCUGGGACAACUCUGAAGCUGAAGAGGAGGAGAAAGCCCCUGUGUUGCCAGAGGGUGCAGAAGGGCGGGAGCUGACCCAGGGCCCGGCAGAGUCCUCCUGUCUUUCAGGCUGUGGGAGCUGGCAGCCCCGGAAGCUGCCAGUCUUCAAGUCCCUCCGGCACAUGAGGCAGGUCCUGGGCGCCCCGUCUUUCCGCAUGCUGGCCUGGCACGUUCUCAUGGGGAACCAGGUGAUCUGGAAAAGCAGAGACUUGGACCUCGUGCAGUCAGCCUUUGAAGUGCUUCGGACCAUGCUGCCCGUGGGCUGCGUCCGCAUCAUCCCGUACAGCAGCCAGUACGAGGAGGCCUAUCGGUGCAACUUCCUGGGGCUCAGCCCACACGUGCAGAUCCCCCCCCACGUGCUCUCCUCAGAGUUCGCUGUCAUCGUGGAGGUCCAUGCGGCUGCGCGCUCCACCCUCCACCCUGUGGGCUGUGAGGACGACCAGUCUCUCAGCAAGUACGAGUUUGUAGUGACCAGUGGGAGCCCUGUAGCUGCAGACCGAGUUGGCCCCACCAUCCUGAAUAAGAUUGAGGCCGCCCUGACCAACCAGAACCUAUCUGUGGAUGUGGUGGACCAGUGCCUCGUCUGCCUCAAGGAGGAGUGGAUGAACAAAGUGAAGGUGCUUUUUAAGUUCACCAAGGUGGACAGUCGGCCCAAAGAGGACACACAGAAGCUGCUAAGCAUCCUGGGCGCCUCCGAGGAGGACAAUGUCAAGCUGCUGAAGUUCUGGAUGACUGGCCUGAGCAAGACCUACAAGUCACAUCUCAUGUCCACGGUCCGCAGUCCCACGGCCUCGGAGUCUCGGAGCUGACCUGCCACACACAACCACCUAAAGAUGGGGGUGGCUGUCCACAGGCCCCUCCAGCCACACACGAGGGACUGUCACGUGUUUCUGAUUUGCUGGAAGGACCUGUGUCCCAGCAAGGAAUGGAAACUCUGGGCUGGGCUGGCCCUCUGUCGAGUUUGGGGCCUGUGUGCUUCCCACAACCUUCCUUAAGCCACUGGAAUCGCUGAAGAGGCAAUGAAAGGUGUGGGUUAUUGCACAUGUGCCUGCCAAGAACACUAGUGUAUGCAUGCUUGUGUGAAUGGAUCCAUCCUUUCUCCUGGGAGUGGGAUGCCUGGACCAUCUGGAAGGUGCAAGUUUAAUAUUUUAAUACAUUUUUAAUUUAAAAUAAUUUUAGAUUUACAGAAAAGUUUCAAAGAUAGAACAGAGUUCCAUUUACCCCCAUCCCGCUUCCUUUAUUGUUAGGCUUUUACAUUCCUUUCAUACAUUUUUCAAAGCUAAGAAACUGACAUUGGUACAAAGCGAUUAAGCUCCAGACUUUAUUUGGAUCUCACCAGGUUUUCUGUGAAUGCCUUCUUUCUGUUCCAGGAUCCAGCCCAGAACACCGGCUCAGUGCCCACUAAGACAGCCCUCAGCUGCCUUCGUCUCCCCUCCGUUAAUGCUUAAAGCAGGGCAGCCUCCUUCCAACAAUGCUGGAGAUCCAGUUGGGUGUGGGUAACACCCCCUGGGGCACCGAGGAAGGAGAACUGUGCAGACCCCAGGCACAGUUAGUGCCUGAAGUAUAACUCACUGCUUACUUAUAUCUAGCUUAUAUAUAAAAUCAUACUAGGUCUCAUAUGAUCUUUCUAUAUAAUCAUAUAACUUACUGCUUACUAUAUGUAGCUUAUAUAUAUAAUCAUACUUAGUUCCAUAUAAUCUUUAUAAUCAUAUAGGUAUUGUAGUCGGAGCUGUACUGACACAUUUAGUGCUGAUUUAUAGAAUCCUUCUAUAUAACCAUAUAGUAGUUUGUAGUAGGAGGAAUGCCUAGAGCAGUCACAGAACAGAAGCAGUACAUGGGAAAACAGCCAGACCAGGACAAGAACUGAAGUCCCAGGCGGUGGCGGCCUUGCCUGAAAGGGCAUAUGCUGUAUGGCAGGCUUGGAGCAAGAGCCUUUCCUCCUGAUAAAGGAGUUGUAGUAUCUUGCAUCCAGUUCCUGUGGAAAGUGGGCCUCAGGCCUGAGAUCCUGCAAAGAACUGAGGGAGAAGAACCCCUCAGGUGUGACCAGUCUCGGAGGCUGUACACCCUGUCAGUCUUUUCUCGAUUCUGUGCUAGGUCAAUCAUCCUCCCAUACAUAUCUUAGAGAAGAGCACAAGUCUGUCAGAUCCCACUGCAUUGGCUUGCAGUAUCCUUCUAUUAGAAAUCCUUUGAAGUCUCCAGCCCCAGAUAAGAAGUGUCGCGCACACGACACCUAUUGCACACAGCCCACCUCUUUGCCUCAGUGACCUAAUAGGGGUGGACCCCUUUUCUGUACACGACCCUCUACUACUGCUCACGGCACAGCCCCCUACUGCACACGGCCCACGUCUCUGCCCAGGUGACAUAAUGGCGUGGCCCCCUCUCUUGUGACUCAUGUAAUUAUGUAUGCCCUAUCACUAAGCCUAUAGCUGAUGACCUCACUUACGACCCUUCCCCCUGCUUGUACCUAAUAAAUACAGACACUUCCGGGCGUUGGG
RNA transcript from Callithrix jacchus (white-tufted-ear marmoset), 3706 nucleotides. It is a transcript of the gene named folliculin, with no coding region annotated. The record is from RefSeq and is a predicted model, not a curated record. NCBI's taxonomy places the organism in Eukaryota, Metazoa, Chordata, Mammalia, Primates, Cebidae.